RNAcentral lists this ribosomal RNA (253 nucleotides) under uncultured bacterium. RNAcentral describes it as "partial 16S ribosomal RNA". It matches the Rfam family "Bacterial small subunit ribosomal RNA", at positions 524 to 776 of the family's 1533-position model. The record is from RNAcentral.
UACGGAGGGUGCAAGCGUUAUCCGGAUUCACUGGGUUUAAAGGGUGCGUAGGCGGGCCGGUAAGUCAGUGGUGAAAUCUCCGGGCUUAACCCGGAAACUGCCGUUGAUACUAUCUGUCUUGAAUAUCGUGGAGGUAAGCGGAAUAUGUCAUGUAGCGGUGAAAUGCUUAGAUAUGACAUAGAACACCGAUUGCGAAGGCAGCUUACUACACGAUCAUUGACGCUGAGGCACGAAAGCGUGGGGAGCAAACAGG